GGAGUUUGGACCGUGUCUCAGUUCCAAUGUGGCUGAUCAUCCGCUAAAACCAGCUAGAGAUCGUCGCCUAGGUGGGCCCUUACCCCGCCUACUAGCUAAUCCCGUUUGGGCUCAUCUAUCAGCUAAUGGUCUUGCGAUCCCAUUACUUUCCUCCUCAGAGCGUACGCGGUUUUAUCAACCGUUUCCAGUUGCUAUCCCCCUCUGAUAGGUAGAUUCCCAAAUAUUACUCACCCGUCCGCCACUCGUCAUCAAAAGUAUUGCUACUUCCAUGUUACCGUUCGACUUGCAUGUAUUAGGCCUGCCGCCAGCGUUCAAU
Molecule: ribosomal RNA, 316 nt
Filed under: uncultured Succinivibrionaceae bacterium
Lineage: Bacteria; Pseudomonadati; Pseudomonadota; Gammaproteobacteria; Aeromonadales; Succinivibrionaceae
Description: partial 16S ribosomal RNA
Source: RNAcentral